UUGAGAGUUUGAUCCUGGCUCAGAACGAACGCUGGCGGCAG
This 41-nucleotide ribosomal RNA is filed under the name Nephroselmis pyriformis. Its description in RNAcentral is "partial Bacterial small subunit ribosomal RNA". Lineage: Eukaryota; Viridiplantae; Chlorophyta; Nephroselmidophyceae; Nephroselmidales; Nephroselmidaceae. The record is from RNAcentral.